RNAcentral lists this ribosomal RNA (122 nucleotides) under Microcebus murinus (gray mouse lemur). Lineage: Eukaryota; Metazoa; Chordata; Mammalia; Primates; Cheirogaleidae. The record is from RNAcentral.
GUCUACGGCCAUACCACCCUGAACGUGCCCAAUCUCGUCUGAUCUCGGAAGCUAUGCAGGGUCGGGCCUGGUUAGUACUUGGAUGGGAGAAAGGUGACACAGAGACUGGGCUGCUGCCUGCU